GGACGGCACGCCCUGUAACACAAACUCAAUCAUUUUCAGAUCACGUUAUUUUCCUCUUGUCUGUGUGUGUGUGUGUGUUUGUGCGUGCGCGUGAGGAAGCGUUCGGCUUUAGGACCUUGAGGAUUCCACUGCAAAGGACAGCUCCACCCCUCCUCCUCCUCCUCCUCCUCCUCCACAAGGCUGUUUACCAAGGAGCCUCCUGUCCUGUGACAAAAACAAGGGCUGGGGCUCUGAGAGAGGAGCAGUGUGUUUCCAACACAGGCUCUUCCUGCGUUUUCACAUCUUUUAGCUGCUGUUCCCUGCAGGGAAGAUGCGCACCAUGCGGUCUGUUUCUUCAGCUCGUCAGCUCUCCAGACUGUUUUUCUCUUUGCACAUUGUUUUCUUGAGCGCAAGCGCAGUAGGGAGCAGCGCAUCCGCUCAAACAGGUAAUCAAAUUGUUAUUUAUUUGUGCAUGAAUUUGCUGUAAAAAUUCUAUUUUUGCUACAGCGUCUGUGUGUGUUUUUUGUUACAGAUUGUGUUAGGUCGGAUGGUUUGGACUACAGAGGGAAGCAGCAGAGCUCCUCCUCGGGUCUGACCUGUCUGAACUGGAUCAAUACUACAAGAGACUACGAUGCUGAAAUCCAUCCAGAUUCCCAAACAGGUGCCGGAGAUCAUAAUUACUGCAGAAACCCAGACGCCUCUGAGAGGCCUUGGUGCUACAUUGCUGGCCCAGAUGGGACAAUCCAGAGACAGUUCUGCGCCAUCGAGACAUGCAAAGGCAAGUAAACAGAUGACUAAACAAUGUUGGUGCUGUUUAAUCAUCUUGUCGUUAAUGCUUUUUUUUAUGCUUUUAUGUUAAAAACAAAACAAAAUCAACCCACUCUAAAAUAUUCUUAACAGUUUGUUACUUUAAAAACAGAGUUUUUUAUGGAAGCAAUGGGAUGCCACAAUUCUAGAUCAAAAACAAGACAGGAUAUUUUGCCAUUAAACAUGGAAAGCGCCAAGUGGAAAAAUAAGAGUUUGGGUCAGUCGGUCAGGAUUCAACAGCGGUAGGAAGUCUGCUCUUUGUUUGGAGCAAUAGCAAACCUGACAACACGUGUUAGAAAGUUCAGACUGAAAAACAACCUUGACCCAGCCCCAAAGCUGCGCUCAUUGGCACAUUUCUCUGAGUUCUCCUUGGAGAGGGGAAAAUAAUUGGCUGCUUUAGUUUACGACUCCUCAGCUUACACAGGGCUCACAAAAGGCUGAGCGGAAGUGGGCACAUGCAGCUGAACUUUUGCUGCCAGUCGAGCAGGAACACGCCGAACUUGCUAGUCUGGAAAUUGUGAACAAAACAAAACGGAAAAGACAAAAACAAGCGAUAGGAGCUGAUAAAGAACUACACUGAAAAUUUGCCUUGUAUACAAAAAAAGCUCACAAUGUCGAAAUGAGUGCAAGGAAAAAAGACAAGGAUCAUUUUGAAGAAUUUGUUUAAAUAAAAAAUUGCCCAAUAACUGUACUGGAUGCUUAAAGACAUUUUGAUAAAAUAUCUUUUGGUUUUUAAUGUAGAGAAACAACAAAAAAGAUAUUAAAGGGAGAAAAGCAGAAAAAAAAUCUUUCAUUGUACUGAAAUAAACCAUUUUUGAGCCUGUAGAUUUUGCAGUAGGGAGAGAUUUGUUUUAACUACAGUCAAUAGUUAUUCAGACGAUAUGAAAGUAGAAUCUUUAAUUAAUAAGGAAGAUUAAAAAAAUUUACCUAACAGCAGGGUCCUUUUCAAACACAAGUACAUAAACUAUUUUUGUACUUUUUAGUUUUUCUGCACCACCUUUUAAGGAGAAACUUGUCUGCAGGUACCUGCUGUGUAUUUGACAAAAGACGACUUAGGUUUUGUCAUAUUCAGAGAUUUAGAAUGUUAGAUAUCUAUUGAUUGUUUGCUUCAAGACAGUU
Molecule: long non-coding RNA, 1905 nt
Filed under: Oryzias javanicus (javanese ricefish)
Lineage: Eukaryota; Metazoa; Chordata; Actinopteri; Beloniformes; Adrianichthyidae
Description: lncRNA (ENSOJAG00000021206.1)
Source: RNAcentral